UACGUAGGGGGCUAGCGUUGUCCGGAAUCAUUGGGCGUAAAGAGCGUGUAGGCGGCCCGGUAAGUCCGCUGUGAAAGUCGGGGGCUCAACCCUCGAAUGCCGGUGGAUACUGUCGGGCUAGAGUGCGGAAGAGGCGAGUGGAAUUCCUGGUGUAGCAGUGAAAUGCGUAGAUAUCAGGAGGAACACCGAUGGCGAAGGCAGGUCUCUGGGCUGACACUGACGCUCAUGCACGAAAGCGUGGGGAGCAAGCAGG
This 253-nucleotide ribosomal RNA is filed under the name uncultured bacterium. Its description in RNAcentral is "partial 16S ribosomal RNA". It matches the Rfam family "Bacterial small subunit ribosomal RNA", at positions 524 to 776 of the family's 1533-position model. The record is from RNAcentral.